GACGAACGCUGGCGGCGUGCUUAACACAUGCAAGUCGAACGGAAAGGCCCUGCUUUUGUGGGGUGCUCGAGUGGCGAACGGGUGAGUAACACGUGAGUAACCUGCCCUUGACUGUGGGAUAACUUCAGGAAACUGGGGCUAAUACCGGAUAGGAGCUCCUGCUGCAUGGUGGGGGUUGGAAAGUUUCGGCGGUUGGGGAUGGACUCGCGGCUUAUCAGCUUGUUGGGGGGGUAGUGGCUUACCAAGGCUUUGACGGGUUGCCGGCCUGAGAGGGUGACCGGCCACAUUGGGACUGAGGUACGGCCCAGACUGCUACGGGAGGCAGCAGUGGGGAAGAUUGCACAAGGGGCGGAAGCCUGAUGCAGCAACGCCGCGUGCGGGAUAACGGCCUUCGGGUUGUAAACCGCUUUCGCCUGUGACGAAGCGUGAGUGACGGUAAUGGGUAAAGAAGCAACGGCUAACUACGUG
This 468-nucleotide ribosomal RNA is filed under the name uncultured bacterium. RNAcentral's name for it is "partial 16S ribosomal RNA". It matches the Rfam family "Bacterial small subunit ribosomal RNA", at positions 28 to 507 of the family's 1533-position model. The record is from RNAcentral.